Molecule: ribosomal RNA, 378 nt
Filed under: uncultured eukaryote
Lineage: Eukaryota
Description: partial 18S ribosomal RNA
Rfam family: Eukaryotic small subunit ribosomal RNA
Source: RNAcentral
CAAUAGCGUAUAUUUAAGUUGUUGCAGUUAAAAAGCUCGUAGUUGGAUUUCGGGUGGGACGCAGCGGUCUCGCAUUGCGUUUGUACUGCUGCAGCCCUCCUUCUUGCCGGGGGCGGCCUCUCGGACUUCACUGUCUGGGGGUCAGAAUCGGCGAUGUUACUUUGAGUAAAUUAGAGUGUUCAAAGCAAGCUUACGCUCUGAAUAUAAUAGCAUGGGAUAACACGACAGGACUCUGGCCUAUCGUGUUGGUCUAUAGGACCAGAGUAAUGAUUAAGAGGGACAGUCGGGGGCAUUCGUAUUCCGUUGUCAGAGGUGAAAUUCUUGGAUUUACGGAAGACGAACCUCUGCGAAAGCAUUUGCCAAGGAUGUUUUCAUUGA